RNAcentral lists this ribosomal RNA (133 nucleotides) under Theileria sp. RNAcentral describes it as "partial 18S small subunit ribosomal RNA". Lineage: Eukaryota; Apicomplexa; Aconoidasida; Piroplasmida; Theileriidae. The record is from RNAcentral.
UAUAUAUGGGCAUUUGUCGUUAAAAGUCAUUAAAAUAUUUUUAUUGAUAAUUUUAUUUGGAGAAAAUAAGAGUGUUCAAACCAGGCUUAGCCUUGAAUAAUUUAGCAUGGAAUAACAUAGUAGGACUUUGGUU